GAUGAACGCUGGCGGCGUGCCUAAUACAUGCAAGUCGAGCGAACAGACGAGGAGCUUGCUCCUCUGACGUUAGCGGCGGACGGGUGAGUAACACGUGGAUAACCUACCUAUAAGACUGGGAUAACUUCGGGAAACCGGAGCUAAUACCGGAUAAUAUAUUGAACCGCAUGGUUCAAUAGUGAAAGACGGUUUUGCUGUCACUUAUAGAUGGAUCCGCGCCGCAUUAGCUAGUUGGUAAGGUAACGGCUUACCAAGGCAACGAUGCGUAGCCGACCUGAGAGGGUGAUCGGCCACACUGGAACUGAGACACGGUCCAGACUCCUACGGGGGGCAGCAGUAGGGAAUCUUCCGCAAUGGGCGAAAGCUUGACGGAGCAACGCCGCGUGAGUGAUGAAGGUCUUCGGAUCGUAAAACUCUAUUAUUAGGGAAGAACAAAUGUGUAAGUAACUAUGCACGUCUUGACGGUACCUAAUCAGAAAGCCACGGCUAACUACGUG
This 497-nucleotide ribosomal RNA is filed under the name uncultured bacterium. Its description in RNAcentral is "partial 16S ribosomal RNA". It matches the Rfam family "Bacterial small subunit ribosomal RNA", at positions 28 to 507 of the family's 1533-position model. The record is from RNAcentral.